Molecule: transfer RNA, 73 nt
Filed under: Mycocalicium subtile
Lineage: Eukaryota; Fungi; Ascomycota; Eurotiomycetes; Mycocaliciales; Mycocaliciaceae
Description: tRNA-Arg
Rfam family: tRNA
About the family: Transfer RNA (tRNA) molecules are approximately 80 nucleotides in length. Their secondary structure includes four short double-helical elements and three loops (D, anti-codon, and T loops). Further hydrogen bonds mediate the characteristic L-shaped molecular structure. tRNAs have two regions of fundamental functional importance: the anti-codon, which is responsible for specific mRNA codon recognition, and the 3' end, to which the tRNAs corresponding amino acid is attached (by aminoacyl-tRNA synthetases). tRNAs cope with the degeneracy of the genetic code in two manners: having more than one tRNA (with a specific anti-codon) for a particular amino acid; and 'wobble' base-pairing, i.e. permitting non-standard base-pairing at the 3rd anti-codon position.
Source: RNAcentral
UACACAUUAGUUUAAUUGGCAAAACAUUGUGCUACGGACACAAAGAUUACAAGUUCAAAUCCUGUAUGUGUAU